AUACGUAGGGUGCAAGCGUUAAUCGGAAUUACUGGGCGUAAAGCGUGCGCAGGCGGUUUUGUAAGACCGAUGUGAAAUCCCCGGGCCUAACCUGGGAACUGCAUUGGUGACUGCAAGGCUUGAGUGCGGCAGAGGGGAAUGGAAUUCCGCGUGUAGCAGUGAAAUGCGUAGAUAUGCGGAGGAACACCGAUGGCGAAGGCAGUUCCCUGGGCCUGCACUGACGCUCAUGCACGAAAGCGUGGGGAGCAAACAGGAUUAGAUACCCUGGUAGUCCACGCCCUAAACGAUGUCAACUGGUUGUUGGGUCUUCAUUGACUCAGUAACGAAGCUAACGCGUGAAGUUGACCGCCUGGGGAGUACGGCCGCAAGGUUGAAACUCAAAUGAAUUGACGGGG
This 395-nucleotide ribosomal RNA is filed under the name uncultured bacterium. RNAcentral's name for it is "partial 16S ribosomal RNA". It matches the Rfam family "Bacterial small subunit ribosomal RNA", at positions 523 to 918 of the family's 1533-position model. The record is from RNAcentral.